Vulpes vulpes (red fox) is the source of this 154-nucleotide small nuclear RNA. Its record names the gene U1. It matches the Rfam family "U1 spliceosomal RNA". From Rfam's summary of the family: U1 is a small nuclear RNA (snRNA) component of the spliceosome (involved in pre-mRNA splicing). Its 5' end forms complementary base pairs with the 5' splice junction, thus defining the 5' donor site of an intron. There are significant differences in sequence and secondary structure between metazoan and yeast U1 snRNAs, the latter being much longer (568 nucleotides as compared to 164 nucleotides in human). The record is from Ensembl. NCBI's taxonomy places the organism in Eukaryota, Metazoa, Chordata, Mammalia, Carnivora, Canidae.
AUACUUACCUGGCAGGGAAGAUGCCAUGAUCACGAGGGUGGUUCUCACAGGGCGAGUCUCGUCCACUACACUCAGGUCAUUCUGACCACUGCAGUUUCCCCAAACAUGGGAAACUCAACCCCAACUUCUGUUGGCAGGGGACUACAGGCCCUGU